Long non-coding RNA from Oncorhynchus tshawytscha (Chinook salmon), 402 nucleotides. NCBI's taxonomy places the organism in Eukaryota, Metazoa, Chordata, Actinopteri, Salmoniformes, Salmonidae. The record is from Ensembl.
CUUGAAAUCACUUAGGGGAACACACCCCUGACACACAGAAUGUAGGCAUGGUAGAAGUUGAGGAUUUCUGUCACGCUUCAAUUCCGUACAACACAAACCACAACCAUCGAGGGGCCACAGUGGUCGCACGGUUACAGGAGGCGAGAGAGGACGGAGGAGAGAGAACGCAGGAAUUGAGCGGACAAAUUGAGAAAAGGCCCUAGAUGUCAAAACUCUUCUGUGAAGUUCUCAGUUUCUGGGUCACAGAAGAGAGGAGGACAGAGGAGAAGGUGGAGAACUGACUUUUACCCAAAUGAGAAAAGGUCUAGGCCUAUUUGAAGUUAAAGCAAAUUGCCCACAAUUUAUGAAUUUAGCUACAAAAAAUUUAAAUAAAUAUAUCAGGUUACCAGCGCUAGUUUAUUG